RNAcentral lists this ribosomal RNA (508 nucleotides) under uncultured bacterium. RNAcentral describes it as "partial 16S ribosomal RNA". It matches the Rfam family "Bacterial small subunit ribosomal RNA", at positions 28 to 507 of the family's 1533-position model. The record is from RNAcentral.
GACGAACGCUGGCGGCGUGCCUAAUACAUGCAAGUCGAACGCUUCUUUCCUCCCGAGUGCUUGCCCUCAAUUGGAAAGAGGAGUGGCGGACGGGUGAGUAACACGUGGGUAACCUACCCAUCAGAGGGGGAUAACACUUGGAAACAGGUGCUAAUACCGCAUAACAGUUUAUGCCGCAUGGCAUAAGAGUGAAAGGCGCUUUCGGGUGUCGCUGAUGGAUGGACCCGCGGUGCAUUAGCUAGUUGGUGAGGUAACGGGUCACCAAGGCCACGAUGCAUAGCCGACCUGAGAGGGUGAUCGGCCACACUGGGACUGAGACACGGCCCAGACUCCUACGGGAGGCAGCAGUAGGGAAUCGUCGGCAAUGGACGAAAGUCUGACCGAGCAACGCCGCGUGAGUGAAGAAGGUUUUCGGAUCGUAAAACUCUGUUGUUAGAGAAGAACAAGGACGUUAGUAACUGAACGUCCCCUGACGGUAUCUAACCAGAAAGCCACGGCUAACUACGUG